CGUCAUCGUGAAUCUAGCGGUGUGGCAGAGAGUGUGCGCCCAUACUGUAAUUCACACAGCGCUCGUACCGACGCUCUCUCGCUCCAUCCUCAAACACUGCAGUCAUGUCUGACUUCACAGAGGACCAGAUUUGUGAGUUUAAGGAGGCCUUCCUCCUGUUUGACCGAACAGGAGAUGGGAAGAUCAUGUAUAAUCAGUGCGGGGAUGUGAUGCGUGCUCUGGGGCAGAACCCUGUCAAUGCGGAGGUCCUUAAAGUCCUGGGCAACCCCAGUAAU
This is a long non-coding RNA of Sinocyclocheilus rhinocerous, 275 nucleotides long. RefSeq lists it as uncharacterized. NCBI's taxonomy places the organism in Eukaryota, Metazoa, Chordata, Actinopteri, Cypriniformes, Cyprinidae. The record is from RefSeq and is a predicted model, not a curated record. The transcript has 3 exons.